RNAcentral lists this ribosomal RNA (281 nucleotides) under uncultured bacterium. Its description in RNAcentral is "partial 16S ribosomal RNA". It matches the Rfam family "Bacterial small subunit ribosomal RNA", at positions 30 to 313 of the family's 1533-position model. The record is from RNAcentral.
AUUGAACGCUGGCGGAAUGCCUUACACAUGCAAGUCGAACGGCAGCACGGGAGCAAUCCUGGUGGCGAGUGGCGAACGGGUGAGUAAUACAUCGGAACGUGCCCAAUCGUGGGGGAUAACGUAGCGAAGCUACGCUAAUACCGCAUACGAUCUACGGAUGAAAGCGGGGAGUCGCAAGACCUCGCGCGAAUGGAGCGGCCGAUGGCAGAUUAGGUAGGGUGGGGUAAAGGCUCACCAAGCCUUCGAUCUGUAGCUGGUCUGAGAGGACGGACCAGCCACAC